GCCCGAGUAGCUCAGGGGAUAGAGCAGCGGCCUUCUAAUCCGCCGGUCGGGGGUUCGAAUCCCUCCUCGGGCACCC
Molecule: transfer RNA, 76 nt
Filed under: Nesterenkonia salmonea
Lineage: Bacteria; Bacillati; Actinomycetota; Actinomycetes; Micrococcales; Micrococcaceae
Description: Nesterenkonia sp. GY074 tRNA-Arg
Rfam family: tRNA
About the family: Transfer RNA (tRNA) molecules are approximately 80 nucleotides in length. Their secondary structure includes four short double-helical elements and three loops (D, anti-codon, and T loops). Further hydrogen bonds mediate the characteristic L-shaped molecular structure. tRNAs have two regions of fundamental functional importance: the anti-codon, which is responsible for specific mRNA codon recognition, and the 3' end, to which the tRNAs corresponding amino acid is attached (by aminoacyl-tRNA synthetases). tRNAs cope with the degeneracy of the genetic code in two manners: having more than one tRNA (with a specific anti-codon) for a particular amino acid; and 'wobble' base-pairing, i.e. permitting non-standard base-pairing at the 3rd anti-codon position.
Source: RNAcentral